UAUAGUUAAUCUGCCCUAUGCUGGAGGACAACAGUUAGAAAUGACUGCUAAUACUCCAUACUCCUUCUUAACACAAGUUAAGUUGGGAAAGUUUUUUCGGCAUAGGAUGAGACUAUAUUGUAUCAGCUAGUUGGUGAGGUAAUGGCUCACCAAGGCUAUGACGCAUAACUGGUCUGAGAGGAUGAUCAGUCACACUGGAACUGAGACACGGUCCAGACUCCUACGGGAGGCAGCAGUAGGGAAUAUUGCUCAAUGGGCGAAAGCCUGAAGCAGCAACGCCGCGUGGAGGAUGACACUUUUCGGAGCGUAAACUCCUUUUCUUAGGGAAGAAAUUUGACGGUACCUAAGGAAUAAGCACCGGCUAACUCCGUGCCAGCAGCCGCGGUAAUACGGAGGGUGCAAGCGUUACUCGGAAUCACUGGGCGUAAAGGACGCGUAGGCGGAUUAUCAAGUCUUUUGUGAAAUCUAAUGGCUCAACCAUUAAACUGCUUGAGAAACUGAUAAUCUAGAGUGAGGGAGAGGCAGAUGGAAUUGGUGGUGUAGGGGUAAAAUCCGUAGAGAUCACCAGGAAUACCCAUUGCGAAGGCGAUCUGCUAGAACUCAACUGACGCUAAUGCGUGAAAGCGUGGGGAGCAAACAGGAUUAGAUACCCUGGUAGUCCACGCCCUAAACGAUGUAUACUAGUUGUUGCUGUGCUAGUCAUGGCAGUAAUGCACCUAACGGAUUAAGUAUACCGCCUGGGGAGUACGGUCGCAAGAUUAAAACUCAAAGGAAUAGACGGGGACCCGCACAAGCGGUGGAGCAUGUGGUUUAAUUCGAAGAUACGCGAAGAACCUUACCUGGGCUUGAUAUCCUAAGAACCUUGUAGAGAUACGAGGGUGCUAGCUUGCUAGAACUUAGUGACAGGUGCUGCACGGCUGUCGUCAGCUCGUGUCGUGAGAUGUUCGGUUAAGUCCGGCAACGAGCGCAACCCACGUAUUUAGUUGCUAACAGUUUGGCUGAGCACUCUAAAUAUACUGCCUUCGUAAGGAGGAGGAAGGUGUGGACGACGUCAAGUCAUCAUGGCCCUAUGCCC
Molecule: ribosomal RNA, 1075 nt
Filed under: Campylobacter lanienae
Lineage: Bacteria; Pseudomonadati; Campylobacterota; Epsilonproteobacteria; Campylobacterales; Campylobacteraceae
Description: bacterial SSU rRNA
Rfam family: Bacterial small subunit ribosomal RNA
Source: RNAcentral